Molecule: ribosomal RNA, 253 nt
Filed under: uncultured bacterium
Lineage: Bacteria
Description: partial 16S ribosomal RNA
Rfam family: Bacterial small subunit ribosomal RNA
Source: RNAcentral
UACGAAGGGGGCUAGCGUUGCUCGGAAUUACUGGGCGUAAAGCGCACGUAGGCGGCUUUCUAAGUCGGGGGUGAAAUCCUGGAGCUCAACUCCAAAACUGCCUUCGAUACUGGAAAGCUCGAGUCCGGGAGAGGUGAGUGGAACUGCGAGUGUAGAGGUGAAAUUCGUAGAUAUUCGCAAGAACACCAGUGGCGAAGGCGGCUCACUGGCCCGGUACUGACGCUGAGGUGCGAAAGCGUGGGGAGCGAACAGG